Molecule: ribosomal RNA, 234 nt
Filed under: Styrax dasyanthus
Lineage: Eukaryota; Viridiplantae; Streptophyta; Magnoliopsida; Ericales; Styracaceae
Also listed under: 1 other name
Description: 4.5S ribosomal RNA
Source: RNAcentral
GAAGGUCACGGCAAGACGAGCCGUUUAUCAUUACGAUAGGUGUCAAGUGGAAGUGCAGUGAUGUAUGCAGCUGAGGCAUCCUAACAGACCGGUAGACUUGAACCUUGUUCCUACAUGACCCGAUCCAUUCGAUCAGGCAUUCGCCAUCUAUUUUCAUUGUUCAACUAUUUGACAACAUGAAAAAACCAAAAGCUCUGCCCUCCCUCUCUAUCGAUCCAAGGGAUGGAAGGGCAG